GCUGGUGUGGCUCAGUGGACAGAGCAUCGCCCUGCGGACUGAAGGUGCUGGGUUCAAUUCCAGUCAAGGGCA
This 72-nucleotide transfer RNA is filed under the name Myotis davidii. It matches the Rfam family "tRNA". From Rfam's summary of the family: Transfer RNA (tRNA) molecules are approximately 80 nucleotides in length. Their secondary structure includes four short double-helical elements and three loops (D, anti-codon, and T loops). Further hydrogen bonds mediate the characteristic L-shaped molecular structure. tRNAs have two regions of fundamental functional importance: the anti-codon, which is responsible for specific mRNA codon recognition, and the 3' end, to which the tRNAs corresponding amino acid is attached (by aminoacyl-tRNA synthetases). tRNAs cope with the degeneracy of the genetic code in two manners: having more than one tRNA (with a specific anti-codon) for a particular amino acid; and 'wobble' base-pairing, i.e. permitting non-standard base-pairing at the 3rd anti-codon position. The record is from Rfam by way of RNAcentral. Lineage: Eukaryota; Metazoa; Chordata; Mammalia; Chiroptera; Vespertilionidae.